This 480-nucleotide ribosomal RNA is filed under the name uncultured bacterium. RNAcentral's name for it is "partial 16S ribosomal RNA". It matches the Rfam family "Bacterial small subunit ribosomal RNA", at positions 28 to 507 of the family's 1533-position model. The record is from RNAcentral.
GAUGAACGCUAGCGGCAGGCCUAACACAUGCAAGUCGAGGGGUAGAAGGAGCUUGCUCCUUUGAGACCGGCGCACGGGUGCGUAACGCGUAUGCAAUCUACCUUGUACAGGGGAAUAGCCCAGAGAAAUUUGGAUUAAUGCCCCAUAGUAUAUAACCUUCGCAUGUUGGUUAUAUUAAAGUUCCAACGGUACAAGAUGAGCAUGCGUCCCAUUAGUUAGUUGGUAAGGUAACGGCUUACCAAGACGAUGAUGGGUAGGGGUCCUGAGAGGGAGAUCCCCCACACUGGUACUGGGACCCGGACCAGACUCCUACGGGAGGCAGCAGUGAGGAAUAUUGGUCAAUGGUCGCAAGACUGAACCAGCCAUGCCGCGUGCAGGAAGACGGUCCUAUGGAUUGUAAACUGCUUUUAUACAGGAAGAAACCCUCCCACGUGUGGGAGCUUGACGGUACUGGAGGAAUAAGGAUCGGCUAACUCCGUG